RNAcentral lists this ribosomal RNA (389 nucleotides) under uncultured organism. RNAcentral's name for it is "bacterial SSU rRNA". It matches the Rfam family "Bacterial small subunit ribosomal RNA", at positions 45 to 433 of the family's 1533-position model. The record is from RNAcentral.
UGCUUUACACAUGCCAAGUCGAACGGCAGCACGGGGGCAAACCCUAGUGGCGAGUGGCGAACGGGUGAGUAAUAUGUCGGAACAUAUCCGGAAGUGGGGGAUAACGUAGCGAAAGUUACGCUAAUACCGCAUAUGCCCUGAGGGGGAAAGGGGAGGAUCGCAAGACUUCUCGCUUUCGGAGUGGCCGAUAUCGGAUUAGCUAGUUGGUGAGGUAAAGGCUCACCUAGGCGACGAUUCGUAGCUGGUCUGAGAGGACGACCAGCCACACUGGGACUGAGACACGGCCCAGACUCCUACGGGAGGCAGCAGUGGGGAAUUUUGGACAAUGGGCGCAAGCCUGAUCCUUUCCAUGCCGCGUGAGUGAAGAAGGCCUUCGGGUUGUAAAGCGC